UUUUUCAUUCUUAAAGCCAAUAAUUCCGGGUUCCUGCACCUCCGCUUUCCUUUCUUUCUUCUUGCCUGAGAAAACCCACAAAUAAUCCCAUUAAAAAUCCUGCUCGACCUCUUUUUUCCUUUCCCCCAUGAAAAAUCAAAUUUACACCUUUUUGAUUUUUUCUAUGUGAAUUCUUAGCUAAUAUUGCUGUAUCGGUGGCCUUGAUAUGUAAUUGGUGCUUUGUAGGGUAAUUUGCAAGUUGCAAAUUUAUAUGCUGGUACCGACAGUGUAGAGCUCAAAGGCAUGAAAUAAUUGCUGAAUUGAAUUAUUUCUUAAGGCAUUGUAUCUGCAAGUUGCAAGUGUAUAUUCUUUUCUCAAAGAAGCCGUUCCUGGCAUUUUUAGAAUCCACCGGCUACUCUCAAGAAGAUGUGCUCCUUCAGAAGCCCAAAGCUGGGUAGUACCUUUCCUCUCUUUUAUUUUGCAUGAUGGUGGGAUAAGCAAUUUGGUUCUGGUUUUUGCAUAUUGUGGGAUGGUUGUUGCUGCUCGUUGGAUUGCUAAGCUCAACACUUCAUCCUUGCUUAAGGCUCUCAAUGACUAUCCUGACUACAAAGUUAAGGCUUCUAGGAUCACUUAGUGUACAAAGGACACCAAAUGUUCUUGUACAAAAGAGAACAAAUAUCUGCUACAGAUUUGUGGGGUGCAUUUCAAGCCAAGGAUAUGGAGAAUUUAAUGACAUUAGAUCCAUUACUAUUAUGGUCGAUUAUAUUGUUCCAGCAGUUCUUCAACAACUUGGCAUGCUGAAAUACAGUUCAAAGCUUGCCAAAUUGAUUGUGGCUAAUAAUGAAAUAGAUUCAGGCAGUGAGGAGGAAGUUAAGCUAUGGACUUGCUCCAUAUAUGCUGUGGAGAGGAUGAAGGAGUUGAUCAGUAAAAAAUCAGGGAAGUAGGUGCUGAGCAAUUUAGUACUUGUAUAUUUCCUUUUGGUAUUUCAAUGAUUUUCACUCUUUUUGUUUAGAUCAAUCUAUGUCCUAUUUUUUUUCUUUUCCUUUUUUUUUUUUUCCCAGUAGUAUAUAUAAUCUUUCUCUUUGUUUUCUCAGUGUUUUCCCGUUAUUUUUAUUUAUUUAUUUAUUUAUCUAGUUGUUUAAAUCAU
This is a long non-coding RNA of Ziziphus jujuba (common jujube), 1126 nucleotides long. RefSeq lists it as uncharacterized. The transcript has 3 exons. NCBI's taxonomy places the organism in Eukaryota, Viridiplantae, Streptophyta, Magnoliopsida, Rosales, Rhamnaceae. The record is from RefSeq and is a predicted model, not a curated record.